This 508-nucleotide ribosomal RNA is filed under the name uncultured bacterium. Its description in RNAcentral is "partial 16S ribosomal RNA". It matches the Rfam family "Bacterial small subunit ribosomal RNA", at positions 28 to 507 of the family's 1533-position model. The record is from RNAcentral.
GACGAACGCUGGCGGCGUGCCUAAUACAUGCAAGUCGAACGCUUCUUUCCUCCCGAGUGCUUGCACUCAAUUGGAAAGAGGAGUGGCGGACGGGUGAGUAACACGUGGGUAACCUACCCAUCAGAGGGGGAUAACACUUGGAAACAGGUGCUAAUACCGCAUAACAGUUUAUGCCGCAUGGCAUAAGAGUGAAAGGCGCUUUCGGGUGUCGCUGAUGGAUGGACCCGCGGUGCAUUAGCUAGUUGGUGAGGUAACGGCUCACCAAGGCCACGAUGCAUAGCCGGCCUGAGAGGGUGAUCAGCCACACUGGGACUGAGACACGGCCCAGACUCCUACGGGAGGCAGCAGUAGGGAAUCUUCGGCAAUGGACGAAAGUCUGACCGAGCAACGCCGCGUGAGUGAAGAAGGUUUUCGGAUCGUAAAACUCUGUUGUUAGAGAAGAGCAAGGACGUUAGUAACUGAACGUCCCCUGACGGUAUCUAACCAGAAAGCCACGGCUAACUACGUG